Molecule: ribosomal RNA, 253 nt
Filed under: uncultured bacterium
Lineage: Bacteria
Description: partial 16S ribosomal RNA
Rfam family: Bacterial small subunit ribosomal RNA
Source: RNAcentral
UACAGAGGUCUCAAGCGUUGUUCGGAUUCAUUGGGCGUAAAGGGUGCGUAGGUGGUCGGGUAAGUUUGAUGUGAAAUCUCCGGGCUUAACCCGGAAACUGCAUUGAAUACUAUUCGGCUGGAGGGUUGGAGGGGAGACUGGAAUACUUGGUGUAGCAGUGAAAUGCGUAGAUAUCAAGUGGAACACCAGUGGCGAAGGCGAGUCUCUGGACAACUCCUGACACUGAGGCGCGAAAGCUAGGGGAGCAAACAGG